This 554-nucleotide ribosomal RNA is filed under the name uncultured bacterium. RNAcentral describes it as "bacterial SSU rRNA". It matches the Rfam family "Bacterial small subunit ribosomal RNA", at positions 777 to 1344 of the family's 1533-position model. The record is from RNAcentral.
AAUAGAUACCCUGGUAGUCCACGCCGUAAACGAUGGAUGCUAGCUGUUAUGCGUAUCGACCCGUGUAGUAGCGAAGCUAACGCGUUAAGCAUCCCGCCUGGGGAGUACGAACGCAAGUUUAAAACUCAAAGGAAUUGACGGGGACCCGCACAAGCGGUGGAGCGUGUUCUUUAAUUCGAGGCUAAGCGAAGAACCUUACCAGGGCUUGACAUCCUUGGAAUUUCUCCGAAAGGAGAGAGUACUUUAUUGGACCAAGUGACAGGUGCUGCAUGGCCGUCGUCAGCUCGUGUCGUGAGAUGUUUGGUUAAGUCCAUUAACGAGCGCAACCCUUAUGAAUAGUUGUAUUUUUCUAUUCAGACUGCCCCGGUAACGGGGAGGAAGGGGGGUAUGAUGUCAGGUCAGUAUUGCCCUUACGCCCUGGGCUAGAAACGCGCUACAAUGGCCGGUACAAUGCGCUGCCAACCCGCGAGGGGGAGCAAAUCGCAUCAAAGCCGGUCCCAGCUCGGAUAAGAGGCUGAAACUCGCCUCUUUGAAGCCGGAAUCGCUAGUUAACG